GGCGAACGCUGGCGGCGUGCUUAACACAUGCAAGUCGAACGGAAAGGCCCUGCUUGCAGGGUACUCGAGUGGCGAACGGGUGAGUAACACGUGGGUGAUCUGCCCUGCACUUCGGGAUAAGCCUGGGAAACUGGGUCUAAUACCGGAUAGGAGCCAUUUUUAGUGUGAUGGUUGGAAAGUUUUUUCGGUGUAGGAUGAGCUCGCGGCCUAUCAGCUUGUUGGUGGGGUAAUGGCCUACCAAGGCGGCGACGGGUAGCCGGCCUGAGAGGGUGGACGGCCACAUUGGGACUGAGAUACGGCCCAGACUCCUACGGGAGGCAGCAGUGGGGAAUAUUGCACAAUGGGCGCAAGCCUGAUGCAGCGACGCCGCGUGGGGGAGGACGGCCUUCGGGUUGUAAACUCCUUUCGCUAGGGACGAAGCUUUUUGUGACGGUACCUAGAGAAGAAGCACCGGCUAACUACGUG
This 465-nucleotide ribosomal RNA is filed under the name uncultured bacterium. Its description in RNAcentral is "partial 16S ribosomal RNA". It matches the Rfam family "Bacterial small subunit ribosomal RNA", at positions 28 to 507 of the family's 1533-position model. The record is from RNAcentral.